Molecule: transfer RNA, 72 nt
Filed under: Bos taurus (domestic cattle)
Lineage: Eukaryota; Metazoa; Chordata; Mammalia; Artiodactyla; Bovidae
Also listed under: 5 other names
Rfam family: tRNA
About the family: Transfer RNA (tRNA) molecules are approximately 80 nucleotides in length.
Source: Rfam by way of RNAcentral
UCCCAGAUAGCUCAGUUGGUAAAGAAUCCGUCUGCAAUGCAGGAGAUCUGGGUUCGAUCCCUGGGUUGGGAA